This 47-nucleotide antisense RNA is filed under the name Agrobacterium albertimagni AOL15. RNAcentral describes it as "ctRNA". It matches the Rfam family "ctRNA". From Rfam's summary of the family: This family represents a group of ctRNAs (or counter-transcribed RNAs) from p42d and related plasmids. ctRNAs are small, highly structured, antisense sequences which are involved in negative regulation. Members of this family are known to bind to the mRNA of repC causing translational repression. Lineage: Bacteria; Pseudomonadati; Pseudomonadota; Alphaproteobacteria; Hyphomicrobiales; Rhizobiaceae. The record is from Rfam by way of RNAcentral.
AGGAAGGCUUCCAGGGCGGCGACGCUUGGGGGGCCUUUUUCUUUUGC